AACGAACGCUGGCGGCAUGCCUAACACAUGCAAGUCGAACGAGACCUUCGGGUCUAGUGGCGCACGGGUGCGUAACGCGUGGGAACCUGCCCUUAGGUUCGGAAUAACUCCCCGAAAGGGGUGCUAAUACCGGAUAAUGUCUUCGGACCAAAGAUUUAUCGCCUUUGGAUGGGCCCGCGUUGGAUUAGCUAGUUGGUAGGGUAAAAGCCUACCAAGGCGACGAUCCAUAGCUGGUCUGAGAGGAUGAACAGCCACACUGGGACUGAGACACGGCCCAGACUCCUACGGGAGGGAGCAGUGGGGAAUAUUGGACAAGGGGCGAAAGCCUGAUCCAGCAAUGCCGCGUGAGUGAUGAAGGCCUUAGGGUUGUAAAGCUCUUUUACCCGGGAUGAUAAUGACAGUACCGGGAGAAUAAGCUCCGGCUAACUCCGUG
Molecule: ribosomal RNA, 433 nt
Filed under: uncultured bacterium
Lineage: Bacteria
Description: partial 16S ribosomal RNA
Rfam family: Bacterial small subunit ribosomal RNA
Source: RNAcentral